RNAcentral lists this ribosomal RNA (466 nucleotides) under uncultured bacterium. RNAcentral's name for it is "partial 16S ribosomal RNA". It matches the Rfam family "Bacterial small subunit ribosomal RNA", at positions 28 to 507 of the family's 1533-position model. The record is from RNAcentral.
GAUGAACGCUGGCGGCGUGCUUAACACAUGCAAGUCGAACGGAAAGGCUCCUGCUUGCAGGGGUACUCGAGUGGCGAACGGGUGAGUAACACGUGGGUGAUCUGCCCUGCACUUCGGGAUAAGCCUGGGAAACUGGGUCUAAUACCAGAUAGGACGAUGGUUUGGAUGCCAUUGUGGAAAGUUUUUUCGGUGUGGGAUGAGCUCGCGGCCUAUCAGCUUGUUGGUGGGGUAAUGGCCUACCAAGGCGUCGACGGGUAGCCGGCCUGAGAGGGUGUACGGCCACAUUGGGACUGAGAUACGGCCCAGACUCCUACGGGAGGCAGCAGUGGGGAAUAUUGCACAAUGGGCGCAAGCCUGAUGCAGCGACGCCGCGUGGGGGAUGACGGCCUUCGGGUUGUAAACUCCUUUCGCUAGGGACGAAGCGCAAGUGACGGUACCUGGAGAAGAAGCACCGGCUAACUACGUG